GCAUUUCACUCACGCGUGCGCCACAGGCUCUCCUUCGCGCUCGCCGCAGCUUCCGGUACCAGAGCCGAGCGCCGGAAGCGCAGGGUGUCGCGACUGGCUGUGGAGUGCGCUGCYGUCCAGCCUGUGGAGAACCCAAGUGAGACCCGUAGAGCCGCAGGCCUUAGAGACGCGAGGUUUACUGCUGGUGUCCACUCCACGGAAAAAGCACAGGGAAGAAAUCAUCACCUUGAUUCAGGAAAAUCUCUUAGACCUCCCCGGCUGACGGCAGAAGUUUCUCACAGCAGAAGGUGCUGAGAAGCCGAUUGGGUAUCUGAGAGAGGAGUCAUCAACAUGGAUCCAAAACCUGAACACGAACCCGAAUCCAAAAGACUGAAGAUCACACCAUCAAUAAUGGUACCGACACAAGAGCUACCUUUAAACAUUCAGCCAAGCAAAGGAGGCAAGAAAAAGGAAGGAGCAACAAAAAGCACACUACGUGUAAAUCCCCCGACGUGGAGUCAGAUCCAGAACUUGGCAAGCAAAGCUCAGGGAGUGAUUGAGAAGCAGGGGGUCCCUGAGACACCAGCUACCAUGUUUAUGGCAAUGCUGGCUGUUCUAAGUUGUCAGUCAAAUGCAGUCUCGCCAAAUCCCAGUUCCAAUACCUCCAAGUAGACAUGCAUCGAUUGCAGUUAAAAAAUAAGAAAGGUGGAGAUGUGGAGAGCAGAUGAGCCCCUGGUUGAUGUCGGCUGAUCCUGUGGUGUUGGCAGAAGUCAAGUCUGGGAAACAUUCCUUGCCAAAAAGGCAAGGAUGCAGCAGGAUGUUCCAAGCAUUGCAACAGUAGGGUAACUGCAGAAAUAGUUCUACUUCUGUAACUUUUUAGUGUGCAGAGAAGACUCUUGGUAACUCACAAGACUUGAACAAUUUACAUUGCCCCUCUAGUUAAACUUCCUAAUUAUGAGACCCUUUAUAAUAAACUUGCAAAGCUAGUUCUGGGUCA
Molecule: long non-coding RNA, 976 nt
Filed under: Urocitellus parryii (Arctic ground squirrel)
Lineage: Eukaryota; Metazoa; Chordata; Mammalia; Rodentia; Sciuridae
Description: lncRNA (ENSUPAG00010021420.1)
Source: RNAcentral